GGUGAGCGGCGGACGGGUGAGUAACGCGUGGGAACGUGCCCUUUGGUACGGAACAACUGAGGGAAACUUCAGCUAAUACCGUAUGUGCCCUUCGGGGGAAAGAUUUAUCGCCAUUGGAGCGGCCCGCGUUGGAUUAGGUAGUUGGUGAGGUAAAGGCUCACCAAGCCUACGAUCCAUAGCUGGUCUGAGAGGAUGAUCAGCCACACUGGGACUGAGACACGGCCCAGACUCCUACGGGAGGCAGCAGNNGGGAAUCUUGCGCAAUGGGCGAANGCCUGACGCAGCCGUGCCGCGUGAAUGAUGA
Molecule: ribosomal RNA, 304 nt
Filed under: uncultured soil bacterium
Lineage: Bacteria
Description: bacterial SSU rRNA
Rfam family: Bacterial small subunit ribosomal RNA
Source: RNAcentral